Molecule: ribosomal RNA, 119 nt
Filed under: Pteropus alecto (black flying fox)
Lineage: Eukaryota; Metazoa; Chordata; Mammalia; Chiroptera; Pteropodidae
Source: RNAcentral
GUCUAUAGCCAUGCUACCCUGAACAAGCCCGAUCCCGUCUGAUCUCGGAAGCUAAGCAGGGUCGGGCCUGGUUAGUACUUGGAUGGGAGACCACCUAGGAAGACCAGGUGCUGCAGGCA